UUUCCCCUCUCCCCUGUAAAUCCUAGCCGUCGUGGUCCCCUUGGGAUUCUCUCUCUGUGUCAUCGUCCCAAAUGUGGUAAUGUGCAGUGUGUGGCUUGCUUUAUACGAUAUUUGUUCGACUAUUUGAGGGAACAUAAUUAAUGUGUUACCCUCUCUUCGUCAAUCACCAUCCAAACAAGGUAUUAGCGUGCUUUUCUUUUGCUUUUCCGAACUUUCAAAUGGUCAAAUCUUUUCUUCCUUAAUGGAUUUUGUUGGUAUGUGUUUGAAAUCACAAUUUUUGAUUGGUUCAUGAAGAAUCCUAUGGAUUGAUUCUUUGCUGGCAUAAUCUGGUCCUUUGGUUGUUGUUUUAACUCAAUCCUAACCCUACAACAAUGAUUGGUGAGGAGGAAAUCCCAAAGUUAGGAUUUAUCCCACAUCGUAAAUCUAGGGUUUGACAGGUUUGAAGAACUGCUAUAAAAAGAGUCAUUUACCCGCUUUUUAAAAAAAAGAAGAAAUUUUUUUCCCCACAAAAAAUAGAACUUAAACUCAAGUUUUGGCAAUAUUUUGCUUUGAGACUAAGAGUUUAAGAAGUUUAAAUUUUAAAAUCUUGCUUGUGCUGUGUGGUUGAGUCUGGAUUUGGGAGUAAAGUAUUUUUAAUUCCUAUUCUCGACAAGGUUGCACCAACAAAAGAUGGUUACCCUCUUUGCUUGCAUAAAAUACUAUCCUUUGGGCCCUUCCUAUUGCAUAAAAACCAUUAGGCCAAAGGCCCAAUUUCUCUUCUUGGUGGAGUCCGUCUGAGAAGUAAAUGGGAAAUGGAAGCAAAUAUAUUUGAAGGCCCAAUCAAUGGGUGAAAAUGACACUGAUAGGCUUGGGUAGGCCCAUCAGUUUGAAAAUAAAUAUUUUUUCUCUCUUUACCUUAUUUGAUAUGUAUAUGUUGUAUAUCAAACAUAUGAAAUAGUGAAACCCCUAUGCAUGUGUAGAUUUAAGAAAUCAAACGCUUAGUA
Lycium barbarum (goji berry) is the source of this 983-nucleotide long non-coding RNA. RefSeq lists it as uncharacterized. The record is from RefSeq and is a predicted model, not a curated record. NCBI's taxonomy places the organism in Eukaryota, Viridiplantae, Streptophyta, Magnoliopsida, Solanales, Solanaceae. The transcript has 2 exons.